Pan troglodytes (chimpanzee) is the source of this 12272-nucleotide RNA transcript. It is a transcript of the gene named B double prime 1, subunit of RNA polymerase III transcription initiation factor IIIB, with no coding region annotated. The transcript has 44 exons. The record is from RefSeq and is a predicted model, not a curated record. NCBI's taxonomy places the organism in Eukaryota, Metazoa, Chordata, Mammalia, Primates, Hominidae.
AGGGGACGGGGGCGGGGAGCAGGGUGAGGGCUCCAGCAUGGCAGGCUGCAGGUCCCGAGCCCUGCCCCCUUGCCCCGCGGGGAGGUGGCUGAGGCCCAGCGAAAAUUCGAGCGCGGCGCCGGCGGGCCAUCACUGUUGGAGGACCCAGUGCACCCUCCGCAGCUGCUGGCCCGGGUGGUAAGCCUCUCACUGCCCAGGGCCGGCGGCGCCAGCCGACCGCUCAGAGUGCGGGGCGCGCCGAGCCCGCGCCCACCCGGAAGUCGCGCUGAGCCCGCGCCCACCCGGAAGUCGCGCUGAGCCCGCGCCCACCCGGAAGUCGCGCUGGACCUGCGAGCACCGCAGGCAGCCCAGGUUCCGGCCCGCGCCGCUCCCUCCACACCUCCCCGCCAGCAGAGGGAGCCCGCUCAGGCCUCAGCCAGCACAGAGAGGGGCUCCCACGGUGCAGCUGCGGGCUGAAGGGCUCCUCAAGCGCGGCCAGAGUGGGCUGAGGCCGAGGAGGCGCCGAGAGCCAGCGAGGGAUGCCAGCAAGCUGUCACCUCUCAGAAAUACAGGAAGAACAUCAAUAAUGUUCGAAGUUAUAAAUUGCAGAGGUCAGAGGUCAGAAAACAAGGUGUCUGCAGGACCAACCUCUCCUCUGGAUGCUCUAGGUGUUGAAAUUUCCAGGAUGCAAAACGAAGGGGCAAUUCAAAACAUUCAUCUCCACUUCUCAAAAAGAUGAGGUUUCACCGUGUUAGCCAGGAUGGUCUCGAUCUCCUGACUUCAUGAUCCGCCUGUCUCGGCCUCCCAAAGUGCUGGGAUUACUGGCGCAAGCCACCGCGCCCGGCCGGAUCUUCAAAAAACAAAAUCGGCCAGCGAUUUUAAUAGUUCCAGUAAAGGUUUGAGCAGAGAAGUGGACUUUCUUCUUUUCCUCUUUUCAACUACUCCUAAGGACUCCUGGAGAAGAAAGAGCAAAUAUCUCUGCAUCUCAAUUUCUGGUCCGCAGGUAACCCAGUCUCAGUAGCUUGGUAGUUACCAUGGCUCCCAGUGCUGUGCGUCUGACGUCAUUCUGCGGCGCUGGCUGAUGGCGCAAUCAGUUCCGGCGUCCUGUGAGGGCGGGGAUGCUGGGAGGAGGGUGAAAUUUAGCCAUCGGUGUGUGGCAGGGUCAUGAAAAAGCGGCGGCGGCGGGAGAGAGGAGGAGGCGGCGGCGGGGCAGUGAAACUACGGUAGCUGCCCCCUGAGCUGGUGGUGUGGCUUUGUUGGGAGGGCGUAGUUCCUAAUCCCCUUUCCGGGCAGCCGCCGGGGCUCGGGGCUGUGAGCGGCCGUCAGGCUGCCUCCCCGGGCCCCCUGCCUCCGCCAUGUUCCGCAGGGCACGCCUUAGCGUGAAGCCGAAUGUCAGGCCUGGUGUAGGCACCAGGGGCUCCACAGCUUCCAAUCCCCAGCGUGGACGGGAGUCUCCCAGGCCGCCGGAGCCUGCCACGGACUCUGCUUCCAAGCCCGCGGAGCCCACAGAUGUGCCCACAGUCGAUUUCGGUGGAGCGGAGCCCCAAGAAAAGACUCCUAGGAGCAGUACUGAAAAGACUGGUGGUGACAAUGAUGUUGAAGAAUCCAGUAGAUCUUCCUCUACUGUUUCACAGAGAAGAAAGCGAAUAUCAAGUACUUCUAGUCUGGUUAAGUCUAGUGUCAGUGUUCCUUCAGAAUCUCAUCCCUUACCUACAAUUAAUCAAGAGGCUCCACAGCCAACUGCCACUUCAACAAAAGAGAAACAGCCAUGCUCAGACAGAUACCGAAUAUACAAAGCCCAGAAACUGAGGGAAAUGUUAAAAGAAGAAUUGAGAAAAGAGAAGAAACAAUGGAAAAACAAAUAUGCUAUAAAUGAAAGUCAGAGGCCACCAGAUCGUUCAAAAAUGACUAUGAGAGACUUCAUAUAUUAUCUACCAGAUAAUAAUCCAAUGACUUCUUCACUGGAACAAGAAAAGAAAACUGAAAAGCCAUCGACUCCAGUCCAGACAAGAGAGCAAGAAGGUAAGAGUACUCCUAAUGCUGAAGAUAAUGAAAUGGAAGAAGAGACAGAUGAUGGGCCAUUACUGGUUCCUCGAGUAAAAGUGGCAGAAGAUGGUUCCAUUAUUUUGGAUGAAGAAAGUUUAACUGUAGAAGUUUUAAGAACAAAAGGCCCUUGUGUUGUUGAAGAAAAUGACCCCAUAUUUGAGCGCGGUUCUACAACUACAUACUCCAGCUUUAGGAAAAACUAUUACUCUAAACCAUGGUCAAAUAAAGAAACAGAUAUGUUUUUUUUAGCCAUCAGCAUGGUAGGAACUGACUUUUCUAUGAUCGGACAACUUUUUCCUCACAGAGCAAGGAUAGAAAUUAAGAAUAAAUUUAAACGGGAAGAGAAAACAAAUGGAUGGAGAAUAGACAAAGCAUUCCAGGAAAAGCGCCCUUUUGACUUCGAUUUUUUUGCUCAUUUGCUUCAGAAAGUUCUUGCUGAAGAAGAGAAAAGAAAACAAAAAUCUGUUAAAAAUCACAGUUUAAAGGAGAAGAAAUCCACCAAACCACGGAAAAAUGUAAAAGUGAAAAAAGUUGCCUGUGAAGCCGUGAAUAAUGAUCCAGAUGAGUCUAUGAGUUCUAGAAUUUCAGACACAGAAAGAUCUCAGAAGGAUGCUCAGACAGUUGAAGAAGAGUCUCUGACCUUAUCAAGGGAGGAUGCAGAGCAGGUUGCAUUAGAAGUAGACCUAAAUCAAAAGAAAAGAAGGAGGAAGAAGCAAGAUGGAGCUAAUGAACUGGGAGUAAACAAUCUUUUAGAAAAUGCCACUGUUCAGGCGGGUCCUUCUAGAGGAGAAAAACACAAGAAUAAAUGUCAGGCUAUAAGGCCUGAGCUAAAGGAAGGUGAAUGCAGUAAGGAGCAGAUGCUUUCCUGCACACAAAACAUAGAUGGCAUUGUGGGUUUUGCCUCCACUGAAAAAGUUGAGAAAAGAACUGACCCCAUCCUUUCAUUAAGUAAUCAACAAGAUGCCACAUCAGUAGCAACUGAGUCUUCAGAAUCAAGCACUUCAGAUUUGCCUUCAUUCGAAGUUGGAAUUAGAGCAUUGUGUGAGGUGAAUAAUGCUGAGGGUAGUUGUAUAGAAGAAAGAAAUGUUGACCUAAAAAAUAAUUCACUGGAAAUUGAUCAAACAGAAAAUGUUAAACCAAUGUUGAGAGGUCGCUUCCAGAGACCUAAACCCAAUUUGUCAAGGGCUGGGAAGAAAUCAGUUCUUUCACAAGGCAAAACAGAGUCAGAGAGCAAGAAUUCACAUUCAAAAACUUCAGUUGAAAAGAACCACGUGGAAAAAGAUAAAAUGAAUACAUUGGACAUUUUGAGAAUGGAGACUGCAGAGAGAGAGAAUCCAGAAGCUGAAACUGUAUCUGUUUUGGGUGAAAAAAAUUGUCUGCAGGAAGGGAGUCAACUAAAGGCUUUAAGACCUGCACAAGUGAGGGGCCGAUUGCAAAAGCCAAAGCCAAAUGCAGGUAAAGCUGCCGAAAGAAAAGAAAUUCUCAUAUCACAGGAAGAAAUUGGGGCCAAUGUAGAGAAGAAUGAAAAUGAAUCCUGUGCUGAUAGAGAUACUCCUCAACACAUGGAAGAUCAAUCACGUAAAGAUUUUGAAGAGGAAGAUGUCAUAUUACAGCCUGAGAAAAAUGAUUCUUUUCAAAAUGUGCAGCCAGAUGAGCCCAAGGUUCUUAAUGAAUGUCUAAGCGUUCAAGAGAAUAAUAAGGCAAAUAAACUUAACCAAGUCCCAAUUCUAAGGACUCGAUUUCAGAAACCAAAGCCAAAUAUAGGAAGAGGAACUGGAAGGAGAGAAAUUUCCUCAAAGGAAGAGGUACUAGAGAAGAUUCUUGUCUCUGGGGAAAUGGUGGCAGCAUUGAGAGAAACCGUAAGACUAGACACCUCACCAAAGGAGAUGGUACCAGCAGAGAUUAAUACUAAAGAAAUGCAGUCAGAUUUAAAAGAAACUGGAAGAAGAGCCAUUUCUCCCAGGGAGAAGAUUCUAGAUGUGAUUGAUGUCACCAUGGAAAUGGAGACAGGUCUGAAAGCAAUGGGAAGAGAGAUUUGUCUAAGGGAGAAGACGCCAGAGGUGGUUGAUGCCACUGAGGAAAUAGACAAAGAUUUGGAAGAAGCUGGAAGAAGAGAAAUAUCCCCACAGAAAAAUGGCCCAGAGGAGGUUAAGCCUCUAGGUGAAAUGGAGACAGAUUUGAAAGCAACUGGAAAUGAGAGUUCCCCAAGGGAGAAGACACCAGAGAUGACUGAUGCCACUGAGGAAAUAGACAAAAAUUUGGAAGAAACUGGAAGAAGAAAAAUAUCCCCAAGGGAAAAUGGCCCAGAGGAGGUCAAGCCUGUAGAUGAAAUGGAGACAGAUUUGAACGCAACUGGAAGAGAGAGUUCUCCAAGGGAGAAGACACCAGAGGUGAUUGAUGCUACUGAGGAAAUAGAUUUGGAAGAAACUGAAAGAGAAGUAUCCCCACAGGAAAAUGGACUAGAGGAGGUCAAGCCUCUAGGUGAAAUGGAGACGGAUUUGAAAGCAACUGGAAGAGAGAGUUCCCCAAGGGGGAAGACACCAGAGGUGAUUGAUGCCAUUGAGGAAAUAGAGAUAGAUUUGGAAGAAACUGAAAGAGAAAUAUCCCCACAGGAAAAUGGCCUAGAGGAGGUUAAGCCUCUAGGUGAAAUGCAAACAGAUUUGAAAGCAACCGGAAGGGAGAUUUCCCCAAGGGAGAAGACACCAGAGGUGAUUGAUGCCACUGAGGAAAUAGACAAAGAUCUGGAAGAAACUGGAAGAAGAGAAAUAUCCCCAGAGGAAAAUGGCCCAGAGGGGGUCAAGCCUGUAGAUGAAAUGGAGACAGACUUGAAAGCAACUGGAAGAGAGAGUUCCCCAAGGGAGAAGACACGAGAGGUGAUUGAUGCUGCUGAGGUAAUAGAGACAGAUUUGGAAGAAACUGAAAGAGAAAUAUCGCCACAGGAAAAUGGCCCAGAGGAGGUCAAGCCUGUAGGUAAAAUGGAGACAGAUUUGAAAGAAAUUAGAGAAGAAAUUUCCCAAAGGGAAAAGGUGCUAGCAGAGAUCAGUGCUAUAAGGGAAAAGGAGAUUGAUUUGAAAGAAACUGGAAAAAGAGACAUUCCCAUGAUGGAGAAAGUAUCAGGAAAGAUGGCUGUUGUUGAAGAAAUGGAGGCAGAUUUGAAAGAAACUGGAAAAGAAAAUUUUAGAGAGAGAGGAUCUGAAGAGAUCUGUGUUACUGAGGAAAAGGUGGCAGAAUUGAAACAAACUGGAAAAACAGACAUUUCUCCAAGGGAAAACGAGCUAGAGGAGACCAGUACCUCAAGACAAACUGACACACAUUUAAUGCAGAGCGGUAGCAAUGACUGCAGUGCUAUGCCUUCACUAGAUAUUCAAAACAUUAGCAGUGAAGUACUGUCGAUGAUGCAUACACCUGUAGAAGAAAAAAGAAAUUCUGAAAAAGAAGUAUCAAGUCACUUCAGUCAUUUCAAGAUUUCUUCACAGACUCAUGAAUCUGAUAAAACAGAAGUCCAGGGGAUUCAAUCUCCAGAUGUUCCAGAGCAGUUUUCAGAUAUUAAUUUAAGCAAAUCUCUUCCUCAAGAACAGAAGCCACUUGAAAUUAAACCAGCACCUUUUGUGAGGAGCCGAUUCAAAAGACCAAAACCAAACUUAGCAAGAGCAGCUUUGAAGAGAGAGACUACAGAAUCAGAAAAAUAUAUAUAUGAGAAGAAAUCAGAAACCAAGAAAAUGGAGACUAUUGUGAUGCAAGAAAAUAAUGAACAAACCGAAACUCUCCCUUCUCAACAUGAUGAAGCUUCCCUAAUGAUAUCAAGAGAAAAAGACACAUCAGGUCACAGGAAUGAGGAGGCUGUGAUAUUGCCAUGUACACAGACUGAAAGGAACCUUUCACCUUCAAAUUCUUGUGAACCUAAAGAGGAGUCUCAGUCAGCACCAGUCCAGAAAAAUGACUCAGUUGUUUCUGUGGGGACUAAUAAUAUAAACACUUUCCAGCAAGAAAUGAAGGAAAGUGUUAUCCAAACUGCUCGACAAGUAAAGGGCCGACUUCAGAGACCGAGACCAAAUAUAAGAAAGACAGGACAGAGGCAAAUAGUAGACAAAGGUGAAGCCAAAGGCAUAAUUAAGGAAGGAAGAACGAUAUUAUCAAAAGAUGAAACCGAAAAGAAAGUCUUAACUGUGUCAGAUUCUCAAAUUGAAACUGAAAUUGAAGUUCCAUCCUCCGCAGUUCCAGAACACAGAAUGUAUGAAAAUCAAAGUCAGGUGGUUCUUGUAGAAAACCUUCAUGUUAACAAAACAAAUGAAACAAUCAGACAUGAAAAUAAACCGUAUGUUCCUAGUUCAGCACAAAUGACAAGAAGGAAAUUCCAAAAGGCUAAGCCAAAUUUGGGAAGAGCACACAGUAAGAAAGAGGAACCAGUUUUAGAAAAAGGCACAACAGAUCAGAGCAAGGAAGGCAAGCCAGAAGAUCAUUUGCUGCAGAAAGGAGCUUCCAACACCCAGCUCCUUCUAAAAGAAAAAGCUGAGCUUCUGACAUCUCUGGAGGUUUCAGCAAGAAAAGAUUGUGUAGGUUCCAAAGAGUCUGCUUUGGCAAAAAUAGAUGCGGAAUUAGAAGAAGUUGGACCAUCAAGAAGGGUUGGAGAGGAAACUGUAGGAGAUAAUUCACCAUCUUCAGUUGUUGAAGAGCAAUAUCUCAAUGAACUAGCAAGCUGUCCACAACCGUUAAAAGAAACAAGUUACUCUAAAAUUGCCCUGGAUGGGAAAACAACUAUCUCUUCUACAUCUGAGUAUGAGAGAAAUCGUGGUGAAAGGAGAAGUCAUAAAAAGAUCAAACCAAAUGUCACCAGAGGUCGUGGAUCAAAACGAGUUCGGGGUAAGACCCCUAAGAAGGAACCUAGAGCUUCCAAGGCCGUGCUGGUGACUCUUCGGGCUUCCCAGGAAGAAGAAGAUGAUGCUGACGAUUUUGAGUCUGACUAUGAAGAAGAAAGCUAUCAUCUUGCUCCCGAAGAAGUAAACAAAGCUCCAGUAUUUGUACCUGUUGGUCUCAGAUCUCCUGAACCUGUUUCUGCUCAGAUUGAGGAAACAAUGGAAGAGCUUGAAAUAACUGUGAAUGUCCCAGAUGUAGGAUGCAUAGCUGUUGUUGAACAUGAGCUACCAAACACAGAUGUGACUACUGAAGAAAUGAAACAAGAAGAAAAUUUGAGUGCACCGUUUGAAAUGACCACAAGUGAACAUAUCCAAGAUGAACCAGGUACCAAUGAUGGAAGCACCGAAGCUGCAAUAACUUUACUUACAAUGGGAGAUCUAGUAUUGCAGUCAGAGAUCAGUAGUGAACAGGGUGAUGUAGGAGUAUGUAUACUUCCUCAUGUUCAUUCAAAGGAUAAAAGCCAUAUUCCUUCUAGCCUAGAUAAUGUAAAUCACAAAAUUGUUCAUGAAUGUCAGGAACUUUCUUCACCUGUCAUUACUACAUCUCCUGCAUCAUUUGAAGAAAACAAGAUUGUAUUGGAGGAACAAAGUUCCAAAGAAGAAAUAAGUUUAAUGGAGAAAGUAAAGGAGAAUGCUACACCAACCAGGAAUACAAUUUCUAAAGUGACCAGUAAUUUGAGAAUAAGAAGUAGGCUUGCUAGGCCUAAACCAAAUCUUGAGAAGACUUUAGGGACCAACAGACUUGAUGAUUAUCAGAAAGUUUCCAGUUUGUGUGUAACCAAAGGGGCAGAAAUGGAAACUCAAAGAGAAACAGAGAAAAAUGCUUCCAAAGCAACAGAAUUGGAAAAUAAAAACCUCGGACCAGUUACAACAGCAGAGAAUAAGGAUCAGAGCAAAUUGGCAUGUGUACAUGGUAUCAAAGGGACCAGUAUUUCUUCAGAAGUAAACCUAACUGAAAGAAACGAAAAUCAAGAAGAGAGCUCUCAGGAGGUUCACAUGUUGUCAGUUGCUCCAGUUGCUUCCUCUGAGACAGGGCCCUGCACACUUGGUUUGGAUAGGGGUCUUGGUGAAAAUUCUGUUGAAGAGCCCCAGAUAAAGGACUCUAAAGGAGACAGUGUGCUUACACUUCCUGUGCCAGAGUAUACACCAACAAGUAUUCCAGAAGUCCAACAAGAGAAUAUAAUCAAUCCUCAAGACCUAACAGUGAAUCUAGUUGCUAAUGUACCUCAAGAUGGAGAAGAUGAACAAGCCUUUAUUUUAACUCUGGUGGAAAUCCCAACCAAUGCAGUAGAAGAAUUUACUGAUGCCACUGCACAGUUCAUGCCAAACCCUUUACUGCCAGCUCCCAUAUUGGUCAAAUCAGUGAAUACCGAAGAAAGGGGUGACAUGAGUAUUUGUUUACCAGCAACUUCAGUUGGUCAAGAUGCCAUGGGUUUAUCUAUUUCUGGAAGAGAUAAUUCUAAAAAGCCUCCUGAUAAUUUGGAUCUUGUAUCUAGGAAGAGAUUUCAAUGCAGGCUUGAUAAAAAUGACCACAUUCCUCCUGCCAAAAAACGUUCACUCACUUUAAGAGAUGACUGUCAAGAAUAUACCUCUGAGGUGCACUCAAAGGAAUUAACAAAUGUUUUUGAAGAAACAGGGGAGUCUCACAAGGGACAAGAUAUUUUUCUUACCUCAGGAAGCACACUGACAACUCCAGAACCUCAAAGACAGCAAGUUGAAGCAGCUUUUCAGAGUAGAGGAUCUAGAUCUCCUGAUGCAUGCAUAGACAAGAAUGUGCCUCAGUUACCUCAGGAUGAAAUGAUUGUGUCUGAUAAGGAAGAAAGAACUGAUGCUGCUCCUAAGUCUCAGCAAAUGGAUAGCAGAACAUCGUCUUCUAAAGCCUCACUAUCCAGACCUGGCAGAAGACCCCUGGGAUUUUUAUCUUUAAUAUGUUCAAAGAAUAGUUUGGAGUCUGAUGAACCUAUGCAAGUCCAUAGUAAGAAACGCUUAAAACCUCUUAUACCUGGAUUAAGAAAGAAAUUGAAAAGAUCUAAUCCAUUCAAUGAAAGCCAGGAAAAAAAUCGAGAGUCCUCUGAUCUGCUUCCAUCUCCAAGUGUUAUUACUACUCAAUCUGAGAAUAUUAGCAGCUCAGCAACUCAGAGACCCUUCUGACUUGUGGAAGCAAAAGGAAGCAGUGCUGACACCCACAAGAAUUUAAGGAACUGUAAAACUAGAAUUUGUUCACAUGUUUCAUUUCUAUGUCUCCUGAAGCUGUCCAAUGGUUUCUUGUGAUCAGCCCUUACUGAAAGAAGGAUAUAAAAGUGCCCAAAAGCGGGCCCCUCAAGGGGAGCCAACCACAGUCUCUGAAUAUUUCUUCAAUGAUAUCUUCAUUGAAGUGGAUGAAACAGAAUAAAACAAUCUUUUCUCUUUUUCUUUUUUAAAUUAGGUCUAGGAUUUCCAGAGUCAAUUACAUCAACAAAACAGUAUUUAGAGCAAAAUAUCACUGUCUUAUUUUUCUUUAGGUUGAUUUUGAAUAUUUAAUGAGCUUGAUUUGAAGCUUUUAUAAUAGUGGAAAACAUUUCUGAGGUUCCUUUCAUUCUGACUGAUUCAGCAUUUUGCAGAUAGCAAGCAAUUAAGACUGCUUUCUCAGACAGAAAUAACAACUCUUGUUUACAUUUUGACUCUUCCUGUGCUAAGCACACAUGGACAUUUGGGAAUGUUGUGGAUGUAUGUCUCUGUAUGAAUUGCAGUGCAGACAGAUUUGGGGGUUAAUUGUAUCAUAUUUAACAUUUAGCAACUUCUUUUGUGAAGAUUUUUUAUUUUUCGGGGGAGAUGAUGAAGGAUGAAGGCUUUUUCAUUUGCUUCUAAGUACAGUCAUGUAUCGCAUAACGAAGUUUAAGUCAAUGAUGGACCACAUAUAUUAAUUACAGUGGUCCCAUGCAAUUAAAAUGGAGAUAAAAAAUUCCUAUCAACUAGUGACAUUAUAGCCAUCAUAACACAGUGCAUUGCUUUUUUAUGUUUAGAUAUGUUUAGAUACACAAAUACUUACUAUUGUGUUACAACUGCCUACAGUACUCAGCAUAGUAACACAUUGUAGAGGUUUGUAGCCGAGGAGCAAUAGGCUAUACCACAUAGCCUCAGUCUGUACGGUGUGUAGCAGCCUGUACCAUCUCAGUGUUUGUAAGUACACUCUGCGUUGUUUCACACAAGAUCACCUAACAAGGCAAUUCUUAGAACAUGUAGUUAAGGGACGUGUGACUAUAUGUGAAAACAAAUUGUCAAACUUCACUUUAGUAUGGCAAAUGUUAAAGAACUUUUCUAUUAUCAGCUGUUUGUCUGACUGAAAAAUACAUAUUUUUCUAAUUCAUGGUGAUGUAACAUUGGUCCUAAUUGAAAAACUAGUAUUUAAACAUAAUUAUUUAUAAAGAUGACACAUCAAAGAGCUUAUUUAUUUUUAAAUUUUUUAUUUAAAAGGAUAUUCAGUUUUAGCUAUUUUUACCCCUCAGAUUGUAGAUAAAGAAGGCAUUAACAAAUUUAUGUUUGUCUCCUUUUUCUGUUUAAUUUUAAAGAUAUUUAAAAUGAUAUAACUAAAAAUGUUUGGCUGGUGUAUAUGUUUUGAAUGCCUUUUUUCCCUCAGUUUAGUAUAUUGACUUUGUACUGUGAAUUUUUCUGCUUUUCUUGGAUAAUCUCAGGAUUUUCAUGAGGAUAGGGGGAACUCAACUUUAUUUAUGAGACAAAAUUUCCAUACAAAGCUCAAUCUCCUUUAUACACCCACAGACAUAAUAUUAGUUUUUAAAAAGCCAAUUUCUUCAUAGUUUUUUCCCAUUAAAUUCUCAAGGAACACUUGGAUCUUUAAGCAUGGAACAUAAUCAUGAUGUUAAAAACAGAGAAAAUAAGGCUUUAUAAAGUUAAUGAUUAUCAUCAGUAUGAAUUUAAGGUUUGUUUUAAUUUCAAGAUUUGAUUUUUUAUACGUGUAAUUCUAUUAUCUACCCAAGCAGAUCUGUAGUGGUUCCAAUUAGACUUCUCAAACAGCAAAUUUAUCCUGAUUUUAUUUGAAAAGCCUCUUGGAUUGAUAGUAUAGUAGCUCAGGCAUUGGAAACUUUCUGCAAACUGUUUUGGGUUUGCAGGCCAGAUGGUCUCUGUGGCAGCUACUCAGCUCUGCAAUUUCAGUGUGAAAGAAGCCAUAGACAGUACUUGAAUGAAGGACUGUGGCUGGAUUGGCCUUUUAGUUUGACCCCCUACAUUAGGCCCCAAAUUUUCUUACCCUGAGGUGCUGAUAUCUGUAUGGAUGAGUUAUUUGUCACUAAAGUUAUGAGUUGUGCCUAAAAGUUAAAACUGUUGAUUGUAUUAUGUAAUGAUCAGUAUUUCAGUUGGGAAGAUAUUUUACAGUCUAGAUAAUUAUGUUUGUAUAUUGAAAAAAUGGUGGCCAGUUUUUAAGUUCCUUAAUAGAAGAGAAUUAUGUCUCAGCAGAUAUAACAGUAAUGCUAAUUUAUUGAAACUACUGCUGUUAGAGCACUUCUUAUUCAUUGUCUUUUAGUGAAAUUUAUGGCGUAACACUUUGUCAGAGAGGAGGCUAUAUAAUUCGGAGCGGAAAUUGUCUAUAAGUAGGCAUUUAUUUCAUGAUUGAUAUGUCACAGAAAUCAUGGUAGUAAAUCACAUUGCUAUUUGAAUACCCUGUUUUUGUAAGUUUUUAAAACUCAUAUUCUGAAAAGAUUUCAUUCUCUUAGUGUUAGCUUGGGAGUUAGAUUGCCAUGAUUAAACUAUUAUUUAUCCUUGUGUAAUAUUAAUUUUUAACUUUAACAUCUGUUUCUUUUUAAUCUAUAAUAAGCUAGUUUUACGGAAAAUGGAAUUUCUUACUAUAUAAAGAGUACAGAGACUCAUUGUAUUAGAGAAUCAAGUCAGCCAGCUAAAGUAUCCUACUGUUAAAUCCUUAAACCUAAUUUUGGAAAAGAGAAAGUUAAUCAAUGUAUUUACCUUACAUGUUGGAAAGAACUAUGUUAGGUCUGAUUCAUGUAAAGAAGAUGUUGCAAAGAAUUUAUUUCACAAAUUUUAAAGGAGAUAUGAGUAAAAGUUUUUAUCUUUUCUUGACUUUUUCUCCUGAACACGUAUGUCUUAGCAAGUGGUCAACAUGAGGAUUUGAACGCCUAAUUGUUGGUAAAUGGUUGAGGCAUGACAAAAAUAUUAAUAUCCACUGUUUACCAUCAUGUUAUUUGAAACAAAAGUGACCAUGUAUACUAUCUUGCUUGAAGAAGUCUUUGACAGAAAAAGCAAUAUCAUGUCAUUUAUAAAUUUUCUUGUUCUAAAGAAAGCAGUUAUAUAUAUAUAAAUUAUGUAAAUAAAAGUUAUUUUAUAUCA